AUAUGUAUACGGUGUGCGAGCGGUAUGAUAAUUGCGUAAUUGAUAAUAUAUGCGCGUUUUCCGUGAGCUCACCGAUCGUGUCGACUCGUUUUAAUAUUAUUAUUAUCGGCAAUCCAUUAUUCAUUAGACGCUGUCACAUUUUGGAGUGGCCGUCGUCACUAGAGGUGAGUGGCCUCCCCUUUACAGCCAGUGGAAGCAGAUAGAUAGAGAGAAAGAUAUAUGUACAUAGAAAGAGAGAGAGAGGAGUGAAAGAAAGAAAGAGAGAGAGAGAAAAAGGGCUAGGCAGUGGCGUUACGUCUCCUGAGUCUUUAGGUUUAAAAACGUCUCGGCCAUUAUGUAAUACACAUACACAAACACACCUAGUCUUCCGGUUCAUGAAAAUCGAGUAAGAAACGCGCGUUUAUAAAUCUUAAAUCUCUUCCUCUCACUGUUACCCCACGACCCUAUCGCCUUAAGGUUACUUUACGAGCAUUACACACAAAUAUCGUAAUACAGUUUAAACGGGCACACUUAAUAAUAUGUGGAUAUUUUUAAUUAUUGUAAUAUCCGUCGUCAUUUUUCCACCUUUCCUGUCACACACGCAAACGCCUAUUAUAAUUUAUAACAAAUAGGUACUUGCUCACUUUCGUAAGACCGCACCCCGUGAAAUAUUUAUCUGCUUAUUCAUUUUGAUGCGCCCAUCUUUAAUUAUAUUAUAAUAUUAUACUUUGCGCGCAUAUAGUAAGCGAAGGGCGUCUGACGAUCUGUUGAUGUGAUGCUCAUCUAUACAGAUGAACGUAAGAUCGUAAGUGUGUGAUCAUCAUAUAAAGAUAAAUAAACAGGACAAAGUAGUGACAAAUUAUUUUUAAAAAUUACCGCUUCAGAUGGAAAAAAAUAUGUACAGUACCUGCAGAUAAAUUUUAAGGUGUCACUAUGAGCAAUGAAAAGCGAGCAUUUCUCUGCACGUCAUUUUUUAUGUCGGUAAUUUGCAUUUAUAAUUAUUUUUUCUUUGUCGAAUUUGGUUUUCUUAUCAAGUUUAUGACAUAUAUAAAAUUAACUAUUACUGUCAACAGCUCUCAGUUAAAAGAAGGAUUGUGAGUAAAAAAUUUGGUAUCAGGAUGCGGAAUUUUGAAAACAUGGAUGUAUUCAUAUAGUCCAGCAUUAGGAACAUUUGGCCAUAUUAUGAAAGAAAUAGAAAUCUACGACGAAUUGUUUGUGUGCAUAUGUGUAUGUGGAAAUAUGUUUCGCAUGGGUAACAGAAUUUUCUAUGUAAACUACGAUGCAUACAGGAGGAAGAAACUUGUCAAAAUUUCACUUUUCCCACACCGCUGACAGACUACAAACAUAAUAUAGAUUCUAUGAGGACGUCAUAUAUUCAAAUUCUAUUAUCAUGGAUCCUUAUUAUAGAAUUUUGAAAGUUAUGUAACUCCAAAAUUGUUGGAUUAGAUACAUCAAAAUGUCGAAAAAAAUCUAUCCGUUUAACAAUCUAUAAUAUGAAAAAGGGAUUGCUCUUAUUUGGAAAAAAGAAUAGUUUGUAUCACGACAAGAUAUCCUAUAAAUGGUAUACAACAAUCUAAGU
Molecule: long non-coding RNA, 1558 nt
Organism: Rhopalosiphum padi (bird cherry-oat aphid)
Lineage: Eukaryota; Metazoa; Arthropoda; Insecta; Hemiptera; Aphididae
Exons: 3
Source: RefSeq, a predicted model, not a curated record